GAUUGGUGCUUGCUCAUGAUUUACAUUUGAGUGAGUGGCGAACUGGUGAGUAACACGUGGGAAACCUGCCCAGAAGCGGGGGAUAACACCUGGAAACAGAUGCUAAUACCGCAUAACAACUUGGACCGCAUGGUCCGAGCUUGAAAGAUGGCUUCGGCUAUCACUUUUGGAUGGUCCCGCGGCGUAUUAGCUAGAUGGUGGGGUAACGGCUCACCAUGGCAAUGAUACGUAGCCGACCUGAGAGGGUAAUCGGCCACAUUGGGACUGAGACACGGCCCAAACUCCUACGGGAGGCAGCAGUAGGGAAUCUUCCACAAUGGACGAAAGUCUGAUGGAGCAACGCCGCGUGAGUGAAGAAGGGUUUCGGCUCGUAAAACUCUGUUGUUAAAGAAGAACAUAUCUGAGAGUAACUGUUCAGGUAUUGACGGUAUUUAACCAGAAAGCCACGGCUAACUACGUGCCAGCAGCCGCGGUAAUACGUAGGUGGCAAGCGUUGUCCGGAUUUAUUGGGCGUAAAGCGAGCGCAGGCGGUUUUUUAAGUCUGAUGUGAAAGCCUUCGGCUCAACCGAAGAAGUGCAUCGGAAACUGGGAAACUUGAGUGCAGAAGAGGACAGUGGAACUCCAUGUGUAGCGGUGAAAUGCGUAGAUAUAUGGAAGAACACCAGUGGCGAAGGCGGCUGUCUGGUCUGUAACUGACGCUGAGGCUCGAAAGUAUGGGUAGCAAACAGGAUUAGAUACCCUGGUAGUCCAUACCGUAAACGAUGAAUGCUAAGUGUUGGAGGGUUUCCGCCCUUCAGUGCUGCAGCUAACGCAUUAAGCAUUCCGCCUGGGGAGUACGGCCGCAAGGCUGAAACUCAAAGGAAUUGACGGGGGCCCGCACAAGCGGUGGAGCAUGUGGUUUAAUUCGAAGCUACGCGAAGAACCUUACCAGGUCUUGACAUACUAUGCAAAUCUAAGAGAUUAGACGUUCCCUUCGGGGACAUGGAUACAGGUGGUGCAUGGUUGUCGUCAGCUCGUGUCGUGAGAUGUUGGGUUAAGUCCCGCAACGAGCGCAACCCUUAUUAUCAGUUGCCAGCAUUAAGUUGGGCACUCUGGUGAGACUGCCGGUGACAAACCGGAGGAAGGUGGGGAUGACGUCAAAUCAUCAUGCCCCUUAUGACCUGGGCUACACACGUGCUACAAUGGAUGGUACAACGAGUUGCGAACUCGCGAGAGUAAGCUAAUCUCUUAAAGCCAUUCUCAGUUCGGAUUGUAGGCUGCAACUCGCCUACAUGAAGUCGGAAUCGCUAGUAAUCGCGGAUCAGCAUGCCGCGGUGAAUACGUUCCCGGGCCUUGUACACACCGCCCGUCACACCAUGAGAGUUUGUAACACCCAAAGUCGGUGG
This 1385-nucleotide ribosomal RNA is filed under the name Lactiplantibacillus plantarum. RNAcentral's name for it is "bacterial SSU rRNA". It matches the Rfam family "Bacterial small subunit ribosomal RNA", at positions 68 to 1433 of the family's 1533-position model. The record is from RNAcentral. Lineage: Bacteria; Bacillati; Bacillota; Bacilli; Lactobacillales; Lactobacillaceae.